GGUUAAGCGACUAAGCGUACACGGUGGAUGCCCUGGCAGUCAGAGGCGAUGAAGGGCGUGCUAAUCUGCGAUAAGCGCCGGUAAGGUGAUAUGAACCGUUAUAACCGGCGAUACCCGAAUGGGGAAACCCAGUGUGAUUCGUCACACUAUCAUUAACUGAAUCCAUAGGUUAAUGAGGCGAACCGGGGGAACUGAAACAUCUAAGUACCCCGAGGAAAAGAAAUCAACCGAGAUUCCCCCAGUAGCGGCGAGCGAACGGGGAGGAGCCCAGAGCCUGAAUCAGCAUGUGUGUUAGUGGAAGCGUCUGGAAAGGCGCGCGAUACAGGGUGACAGCCCCGUACACAAAAGCGCAUGUGCUGUGAGCUCGAUGAGUAGGGCGGGACACGUGGUAUCCUGUCUGAAUAUGGGGGGACCAUCCUCCAAGGCUAAAUACUCCUGACUGACCGAUAGUGAACCAGUACCGUGAGGGAAAGGCGAAAAGAACCCCGGCGAGGGGAGUGAAAAAGAACCUGAAACCGUGUACGUACAAGCAGUGGGAGCACCCUUUGGGUGUGACUGCGUACCUUUUGUAUAAUGGGUCAGCGACUUAUAUUCUGUAGCAAGGUUAACCGAAUAGGGGAGCCGGAGGGAAACCGAGUCUUAACCGGGCGUUAAGUUGCAGGGUAUAGACCCGAAACCCGGUGAUCUAGCCAUGGGCAGGUUGAAGGUUGGGUAACACUAACUGGAGGACCGAACCGACUAAUGUUGAAAAAUUAGCGGAUGACCUGUGGCUGGGGGUGAAAGGCCAAUCAAACCGGGAGAUAGCUGGUUCUCCCCGAAAGCUAUUUAGGUAGCGCCUCGUGAAUUCAUCUCCGGGGGUAGAGCACUGUUUCGGCUAGGGGGCCAUCCCGGCUUACCAACCCGAUGCAAACUGCGAAUACCGGAGAAUGUUAUCACGGGAGACACACGGCGGGUGCUAACGUCCGUCGUGAAGAGGGAAACAACCCAGACCGCCAGCUAAGGUCCCAAAGUCAUGGUUAAGUGGGAAACGAUGUGGGAAGGCCCAGACAGCCAGGAUGUUGGCUUAGAAGCAGCCAUCAUUUAAAGAAAGCGUAAUAGCUCACUGGUCGAGUCGGCCUGCGCGGAAGAUGUAACGGGGCUAAACCAUGCACCGAAGCUGCGGCAGCGACACUGUGUGUUGUUGGGUAGGGGAGCGUUCUGUAAGCCUGUGAAGGUGUGUCGUGAGGCAUGCUGGAGGUAUCAGAAGUGCGAAUGCUGACAUAAGUAACGAUAAAGCGGGUGAAAAGCCCGCUCGCCGGAAGACCAAGGGUUCCUGUCCAACGUUAAUCGGGGCAGGGUGAGUCGACCCCUAAGGCGAGGCCGAAAGGCGUAGUCGAUGGGAAACGGGUUAAUAUUCCCGUACUUGGUGUUACUGCGAAGGGGGGACGGAGAAGGCUAUGUUGGCCGGGCGACGGUU
Molecule: ribosomal RNA, 1456 nt
Filed under: Salmonella enterica
Lineage: Bacteria; Pseudomonadati; Pseudomonadota; Gammaproteobacteria; Enterobacterales; Enterobacteriaceae
Description: partial 23S ribosomal RNA
Rfam family: Bacterial large subunit ribosomal RNA
Source: RNAcentral